GCCUGGCAUUUUAUUUGGGCUUCUCCCAAAGGAGAGAAAGUUAAAAAAUAGAUAUAUUCACAAACCACCACCACCCUGAACAGCUGGGGGUGGUGGUGGUUCGGUUCGACCCCGGACCAUCGAGCCGGUUUGCACAUCCCUAGCCUUGAUUUGCAUUCAGAUGGAUGACUUCAUGGUCAUGUGUUCUCCUGCUCGAGUAUUCAUAGAACAAAGCAACUGGAUUUCACAGCCUUGUUUGUCACGAGGGAUAUAAGAUAGUUCAGUGCGCUCUAUAUCAUAUACUGACAAAGAUUAUGCACUUGGCUGAACACUCAAUGCACCUUCCUGGAACACUUUGCCUUUCAAAUCUGCAAGCAAACAGCUGACUCUGCACUGCUGUGUUUGCUCGGUACCUGUCCUCAUCAAGCCUCUACAAUCUGGAGUAGAGAUGUUGACAACAGUAAUCAAUAGAGCAAAGAAUGAUGAACCAAUGAAAUGAGUCUGCCUGAAAGGCCGCUGCAGCAACCACAACAACCAUCGCAACAGGCGGUAUCCUAAUUAUUGUUUUGAGGGGAAACGGCAGAUGAAAGCUUGAACGCCAAAAUAACAAGAUCAAUAUUUUAAACCUUGCAAAGUGGUAAGGUUAAACAAGAAGAGGCCAGAAGUACAGCUUGCGGCACAAGGCAACUAGAUUAGAUCUCUUUGAUUGGUAGAGCAGAGGCCAUCCAAAAUCUAGUCAGGCUUCGGCCUAGUUCUCACUGAAGUGGCAAAUCUAUGCCUUGGCUUCACCAGAUUGCAGGCGGCAGCUCUUGUCGCUGAUUCCUUCUCUAUAACAACAACCCCCCCCCCCGCAUGAAGAAAACUAGUAUGUCAGGGGAAGGCUAGGCCAGACUCUUUCUCCCUCAUGUCUGUUUUUCUAUGCAGAAGGAAUAUUUUUGUAUGGAAGAGCUUUCAGGCAAAGAAGCCCCCAUUUGUAGUAUGAACUGACUGUAAAACUGAUGAAACGCAGUCUGGACAUUAAGAAUCAGGCUUAGGUCUCACUAGGGGGAAAAAUGGCACAAAAAUAGGUGAACAGCCUACUAUUUUAGAGAGAACUAGGCCUUGGAAGUUUUAGCCAUCAACCUCGCUGCUGGCCGCAACACCCAGGAACCUUAUAUUUCAUUACUCACAGAGUCAUAUGGCCAAAAAUAAUGGCCAUAUAAUGGCCAAGAUCCAAAGAGCUACUUGUGCACGAAAGAGCUUGGGUAUGUCCGAGUGGUAGUGGUGUAGAGAGGUCAUGCCCUGCCUGUGUUCUCAUGGACAACCCUCCCAUGGUGGCAGCAGCAGCAGCCUCUCUACCCUGGUGGCAGUGAUAGUGGAGGUAUGUUGGUAGGGUCGCCUCCCCACCCCAGCAACAGGGGAGGCAUGCUCCUGCCACCCAUGCUCCAGCUGGCAUGCACAUUCCCAGCCGCCUCGGGACCAUCAAGAACCCCGAGUGGCUGGGAAGCAGCAGCAGGUUCCAGGAGCGCCAUGCACCACUGGGAAUAGGAAGCGUGGUGCACUGCCAUGGAGAAGAGCAUGGCAGUGGGCACCAGAGGGAGUGACUGGUGAGCUAGCCAGUGGGGAAGGGGAGGAGAGAAAGGGGCUCCUUUUGCUGGGCCAGGCGGCCCCUGAGGCAGUGGGUGUGGUUUCUUCAGACCCGUCCGCCCUAUUGUAGCUCUGCCCCUGCCUAGUGGAAAUUUUCAUUUCCUUCAACAGCAGCAACAACUGCCUCAACUGUCGUGACUGUUGGAAAAGGUGCUGUAGAGUGGCUGGGUGGGAAGAGCUCAGGUGUCAUGAAGUCCCUGAGGCUCGGCCUAGCAGGUAAGUAGAUAGGUCACACAGGUCCUAGAAUGCUCCUCCUGUCCAGCAGUAGCACUAACUGCCAAGGGUGAUUGUUGGAAAAGGUGAUGCGAGUAGGCAGGGUGGGGAGGCACAGUGUCAGUGUUUUAUAUACCACCCUUCCAGAAAUGGCCCAGGGUGGUAUAUAAACCACCUCAUCAACUAAUAUCUAUCAACCAGCUAGGCAGAGAUGCCAUCUCUAGAGAUGCCAUCCUCAACUCAUUUACUCAUAGCUCUUUUGUCUCUUAAAGAGAUUUUGGCUGCUAUCCUGAUUAGGUUACUCAGUCAGAAGUUCUACUGAAAUUCAUAGGACAAAUGAAUCAUGACUAACCUGUCCGAUUAAUGUCAAUGGGACUUCUGUUGAGUAAUUUAGUCAGGACAUCAGCCUUAUGUUUACAAUGCCAGUUUGAUUUCAUUUGACCUCUUCUGUUCUGUGUUUUAUUCCAGGUGCACAGGAGAAGUUUUAAUAAAAAAAUUAAAAGAUUCUAGAACAGGGGUUACCAACCUGUGGACCUCCAGAUGUUGCUGAACUACAACUCCCAGCAUCCCCAGCUACAAUUGUCCUGGUAACAUCUGGAGGAUCACAGGUUGGGAACCCUUGUUCUAGAACACAGAUAGCACAAAGCAAAAUAAUUAAUAUUUCCAAAGUGGGGGGCAUUCUGAGACUAAAUAAGGCUGAAUAAUUCAAGUGCAAUAACCUGAUCCUGAUUCACGGUUACCAAGAUCCUGAUUCACGGUUACCAAGUUUUGUCAAAAGUGACACAAAUCUCAGUACAGUUAUCGGCAUAUCCAAAGCAGGGUUUACCAGAAUCACAAUCCACAUUUGCCAAACACACACACACCCCAACGAUUUCAGCAACAAAGCUUUUUGUGCCAUGUCCCUGGCAUGGUUUUAGAUGGAGUGAUACAAACGUCUACCACAAGAAGACAAGCUCACCAUAGGACUGGGUUGCUAACUCUUUUAACUGAAAAGCUGUAAUUCUCUGAAAGCCAAUGGGUCAUGCUUGCCAGAUACACCAAGGGACUGGACUGUAUAAUGAAUUGUGGCAGGGGAUGAUGGGGUUUGUAGUCCAACAACAGCUGGAGAGCCUCAGAUUGGCCACCCCUGUACUAGUAAAUGGCACUUUCACAGAACAUCAAAUGAGCAGAAUCCCCCUGCAGAUGUCAGAGCUUCGAGUGUGUACUGGGAGGCAUCUGUUAAUGAAAAUUAUACCUGAAUAUAGGUUAGAAAAGGACAGAGUUGCAACUGUCGUCCUUGACAAAAUCUGAUUUCUGCUGAAGUUGCAAAAAGUGUGAGUUUGGUGUCAUUUGUUCCCAGUAUUUCCUGAAUGGCUGAUUUAUUCCACAUUAUUAAUGAACUUUGCAGCAGUCUUACUUGUCAGGCCCACUCUGCAGGGGUCAAUAAUGAGAGGAAACCUGAUGUUAGUGGAUCCAGCUUAAGUGAUUCUGUCAUGUUAACGAUUCAAUAUAUCAGGACAAACGUCAGCUCCUUCCAAUAUGUUAAUUCCUCUGACCUCAUUUGCAUAAACUACAGUCAAUGAAAUACAAGUUCUUCCCUCUUGGGGACUUAAUGAAGAAGUCGAAAUGUAUUUUUUCUAAAUUAUUCUGGUUUUAAGGGAAAGGUUCAUAAGAAUUAGAAAGACAUACAUGUAAACACACAUGAAAAAUAAUCAUCAUUAACUUACUACUUGGGUGCUGUCCAUUACAAGCUUGCGUGCAAGGUCCAUUGAAAUGAGGUUGAGCAGUGGUAGUUGGCAAAUGUUUGGCUUACAAAAGUGUGUACCAUCAUAAAUUGACUAGCCUUUAAGAUACAAAUGGGGUCUUCAUUCUGUUGGCUCUUUAUUAGUCUCCAAAGACCCUGGACUCUUUAUAUCUGGAAUUUGUUAAGAACAUAAAAUCAUAAGCGUCCUACUGGA
Molecule: long non-coding RNA, 3755 nt
Organism: Hemicordylus capensis (graceful crag lizard)
Lineage: Eukaryota; Metazoa; Chordata; Lepidosauria; Squamata; Cordylidae
Exons: 2
Source: RefSeq, a predicted model, not a curated record